GCCGGGUGUGGUGGCUCACGCCUGUAAUCCCAGCACUUUGGGAGGCUGAGACGGGUGGAUCACUUGAGGUCAGGAGUUCGAGACCAGCCUGGCCAACAUGGCGAAACCCCGUCUCUA
RNAcentral lists this small RNA (117 nucleotides) under Papio anubis (olive baboon). Its description in RNAcentral is "Metazoan signal recognition particle RNA (ENSPANG00000038547.1)". Lineage: Eukaryota; Metazoa; Chordata; Mammalia; Primates; Cercopithecidae. The record is from Rfam by way of RNAcentral.